Non-coding RNA from Phalacrocorax carbo (great cormorant), 363 nucleotides. Lineage: Eukaryota; Metazoa; Chordata; Aves; Suliformes; Phalacrocoracidae. The record is from RefSeq and is a predicted model, not a curated record.
UUACAGAAUGAGCUUCAACAAAACCCGCGAAGUUGGCACCUCCCCGUUGUGCAUUACUUAAACAAGACGGAGAGUUCAGAAGCAGUAUGUGGUGCAUGGUUUGUUGCAAGGAUCUCAUGUGCUCACAGCAGUUUUGGUGCCUAGAGUGCUCUGCUACGGUCCGAAAUAGAGGUAAUGGCAGCAGUGAAUACUGGCAGCAACGACUUCUACACAUGCGUGCUCACCAAAGAAGCCAGAAUAUGGACUGGGGUCUGUGGGUGCUCUCCAGUUUUAGUUGGCACAGCAGUUAUAGCACAUCUACUCUACAGUUGGAAAACGGAAGCGGAUAAGCCAGCAAUUCUAGUUCUGGCUACCUAAAAGCUG